GGCCUUGCGCUGGCGAUGUUUCAUUCAAAUUUCAGCCCUAUCAACUGUCGAUGGUAAGGUAGUGGCUUACCAUGGUUGCAACGGGUGACGGAGAAUUAGGGUGCGAUUCCGGAGAGGGAGCCUGAGAUACGGCUACCACAUCCAAGGAAGGCGGCAGGCGCGCAAAUUACCCAAUCCCGACUCAGGGAGGUAGUGACAAGAAAUAACACU
Molecule: ribosomal RNA, 210 nt
Filed under: uncultured Symbiodinium
Lineage: Eukaryota; Dinophyceae; Suessiales; Symbiodiniaceae
Description: partial Eukaryotic small subunit ribosomal RNA
Rfam family: Eukaryotic small subunit ribosomal RNA
Source: RNAcentral